GCCUUCGGAUGGCUCAGUUGGUAAAGCGUGAGAUUCUUAAUCUCAGGGUCGUGGGUUCGAAUUCCACUUUAGGCG
This is a non-coding RNA of Tachyglossus aculeatus (Australian echidna), 75 nucleotides long. The record is from the annotation of a RefSeq genome assembly. NCBI's taxonomy places the organism in Eukaryota, Metazoa, Chordata, Mammalia, Monotremata, Tachyglossidae.